This 1142-nucleotide long non-coding RNA is filed under the name Monodelphis domestica (gray short-tailed opossum). RNAcentral describes it as "lncRNA (ENSMODG00000042889.1)". Lineage: Eukaryota; Metazoa; Chordata; Mammalia; Didelphimorphia; Didelphidae. The record is from RNAcentral.
GGGGGAGAGAGAAAAUCCUUAAUCUACUUGACGAAGCCACAAAGCCUAAACCGGGCAACGCGCAAUUAGUGGGCUAGAGAAAGCCUUUGGAAACCAUUUUCUGGAUAGGAGGACAGAGAAAGGACUGGGUACAACAUCCCCCUUUUCCUCCCUGGAGCAAUACCUGCAGAGAACAUUUAUUUCUGGAUCUUGAAGUAAUCAAAGCCAGGUGAUGAGUUGGCAAACACCACAGAGGACCCCCUUUCUCCCUGGUUAUCUUCCAGAGCACAACGGGUCUUGGUUGCCUUACAUACAUAACCAGAAGGUUGGACCUCCAAGGUCCCUUCUUGACAGACCCUCCUAACCCUUCUCCAGAGCUCCUUUUGGGCCAAGUUCAUCACUGGGAAUUUUAUUACCCUCCAGAAGCUUGUUGUAAAAGCCAGUUCCCGACAUCCAGGAUCCCAAGACCCGGCAGUAACUUUUCUUGAGUUAUUGAGCUCAGGAUUCCCUAACCCACCCAUGUGCAAACAGACGGUAAUCCCCAGCUUGUAAUGCUCAAAAAAAAAAUUAAAAAAAAGCCUCCAUCCCGUGUGAAUCCCACAGAUGUCUUCUUUCUGGACCACUCUGGCAGGUGGGAGGGAGCUUCAGCUUCGGGGAGGACAAGAUCUCCGCUGCGAGCACCUCGUUUUUUGCUGAGUUGCCUGAAUGAAAAAAAAAAAAGCCCCCUUUCCCUUCCGCUCUUCCUCCUCUCUCCUCGGUCCCUUCUACGCCCAACUCCUCCGUGGAGCCGUUCUUAUAGAAUCCUGUCCCCAUCCCAGCGUCUCCCCCGGCAUGACUACCAGAAGAGGAUGGAGUGGCUCCGUGGUGGAGCCAAACGAAAACUCUAAAUGGUAGAAGAGGCAUUUCGAUUUCUCUUCUGCCCAGCUGACAGUGGGUUUACAGUUUAUAAUCUGGCCUUUGUAAAAGCAUUUGUCAGCCUGUAUAUUUCAUUUUAAACACGACCACCCACCGGGACGGACAACCAGGAAGCAUUUGUUCAUUUGCACCAAGAACUGAUGGGAGGCUUGGCUGCCAAAUCACAAGAAUUUAGUCACAAAGGGGAAUUUUUUUGGCAUUAUCUCCCUCGGAUCUCGCCGGCGAGAGGGCCAGUGUUUAUACCAAGC